CCACGUUCUCAGGAACAUAAAUGUGACCCAAAGGAGACCCCAGUGAAGGUCCAGACCUGAUCUGCACUCAGGACACUGCCCCCGCCACCCUCACGCCUGGACGGUGGGGACGGUGGGGGCAGCCCCGGGUGUCCCUGGCCUGGUAGGAGGCAUCGGGAAGGGCAGAAGCAGGAGCCAAGGUCUUUCUCGGCAUAACAGGGUCUGCACAUCAGAAAUCCAAAGUCCCUCCCGGGAACCAGAGCAGGUACGUUUGGGUCAGAAGAAGGUGAUGACCUAGAGCAGGUGGGUAUCUUGGGCCCCAGCCAGUGCGGUGGCCCCCAGGGACCCUGCUGGGGGUACA
RNAcentral lists this long non-coding RNA (340 nucleotides) under Suricata suricatta (meerkat). RNAcentral describes it as "lncRNA (ENSSSUG00005002160.1)". The record is from RNAcentral. Lineage: Eukaryota; Metazoa; Chordata; Mammalia; Carnivora; Herpestidae.